RNAcentral lists this ribosomal RNA (792 nucleotides) under Actinomyces sp. sp4-iso-1_H01. RNAcentral's name for it is "bacterial SSU rRNA". It matches the Rfam family "Bacterial small subunit ribosomal RNA", at positions 51 to 840 of the family's 1533-position model. Lineage: Bacteria; Bacillati; Actinomycetota; Actinomycetes; Actinomycetales; Actinomycetaceae. The record is from RNAcentral.
ACACAUGCAAGUCGAACGCUGAAGCCCAGCUUGCUGGGUGGAUGAGUGGCGAACGGGUGAGUAACACGUGAGUAACCUGCCCCCUUCUUUGGGAUAACGCCCGGAAACGGGUGCUAAUACUGGAUAUUCACUGGCCUUCGCAUGGGGGUUGGUGGAAAGGUUUUUUCUGGUGGGGGAUGGGCUCGCGGCCUAUCAGCUUGUUGGUGGGGUGAUGGCCUACCAAGGCUUUGACGGGUAGCCGGCCUGAGAGGGUGACCGGUCACAUUGGGACUGAGAUACGGCCCAGACUCCUACGGGAGGCAGCAGUGGGGAAUAUUGCACAAUGGGCGAAAGCCUGAUGCAGCGACGCCGCGUGAGGGAUGACGGCCUUCGGGUUGUAAACCUCUUUCGCUCAUGGUCAAGCCGCRACAUUGGUUGUGGUGAGGGUAGUGGGUAAAGAAGCGCCGGCUAACUACGUGCCAGCAGCCGCGGUAAUACGUAGGGCGCGAGCGUUGUCCGGAAUUAUUGGGCGUAAAGGGCUUGUAGGCGGUUGGUCGCGUCUGCCGUGAAAUCCUCUGGCUUAACUGGGGGCGUGCGGUGGGUACGGGCUGACUUGAGUGCGGUAGGGGAGACUGGAACUCCUGGUGUAGCGGUGGAAUGCGCAGAUAUCAGGAAGAACACCGGUGGCGAAGGCGGGUCUCUGGGCCGUUACUGACGCUGAGGAGCGAAAGCGUGGGGAGCGAACAGGAUUAGAUACCCUGGUAGUCCACGCUGUAAACGUUGGGCACUAGGUGUGGGGGCCACCCGUGGUUU